GAUGAUCGGGUGUAGACGGUGGUCGUUGCAAUGGUAUUGUAUUCUAUUUAUACUAAUUCUAGUUUAAGACUAACCGUAGUUAGUUUCACUAACAACUAACUACUCUUAUUAUAUGUUAUUCCAAUACCAUCCAAAAGCAUCGAUCAAUUCCAUCGAUUCUAGAGCGUGAUUCACGGACCAAUCGUCGAUUUACUCACUAAAUCGUUGAUUCCUUCUCGGAAGACUUGAUGUAAAACGCGCGUCGUGGAUCUUAGAGUCUCUGGCACGAGAAGAUAGCCGCUCGUACCACCGGGAGCACUGGUAGGACUUUCUGUUCUUUAUCAAGUAUCACACUCAGAUUUGUUCC
Molecule: long non-coding RNA, 346 nt
Filed under: Zostera marina
Lineage: Eukaryota; Viridiplantae; Streptophyta; Magnoliopsida; Alismatales; Zosteraceae
Description: long non-coding RNA (ZMAR_LNC000457)
Source: RNAcentral